This 119-nucleotide ribosomal RNA is filed under the name Ricinus communis (castor bean). The record is from RNAcentral. Lineage: Eukaryota; Viridiplantae; Streptophyta; Magnoliopsida; Malpighiales; Euphorbiaceae.
GGGUGCGAUCAUACCAGCACUAAUGCACCGGAUUCCAUCAGAACUCCGAAGUUAAACGUGCUUGGGCGAGAGUAGUACUAAGAUGGAUGACCUCUUAGGAAGUCCUCGUGUUGCAUCCC